CCUACGGGAGGCAGCAGUAAGGAAUAUUGGUCAAUGGACGAAAGUCUGAACCAGCCAUGCCGCGUGAAGGAUUAAGGUCCUCUGGAUUGUAAACUUCUUUUAUCUGGGACGAAAAAAGGCGAUUCUUCGUCACUUGACGGUACCAGAUGAAUAAGCACCGGCUAACUCCGUGCCAGCAGCCGCGGUAAUACGGAGGGUGCAAGCGUUAUCCGGAUUCACUGGGUUUAAAGGGUGCGUAGGCGGGCAGGUAAGUCAGUGGUGAAAUCCUUGAGCUUAACUCGAGAACUGCCAUUGAUACUAUCUGUCUUGAAUAUUGUGGAGGUAAGCGGAAUAUGUCAUGUAGCGGUGAAAUGCUUAGAUAUGACAUAGAACACCUAUUGCGAAGGCAGCUUACUACGCAUAUAUUGACGCUGAGGCACGAAAGCGUGGGGAGUCAAACAGGAUUAGAUACCCUGGUAGUCCACGCCCUAAACCGAUGAUUACUCGACAUUUGUGAUACACUAUAAGUGUCUGAGNGAAGANAUAGUAAUAACCUACCGUGGUUAGUUAGUAGUUGNGAGAUUAGACGACGAAGAAGUUAGACGGCGNGAGACGNGCCGACGGACGACGACGAGGGAGGUAGG
RNAcentral lists this ribosomal RNA (623 nucleotides) under uncultured bacterium. Its description in RNAcentral is "bacterial SSU rRNA". The stretch from base 1 to 538 matches the Rfam family "Bacterial small subunit ribosomal RNA", at positions 338 to 873 of the family's 1533-position model. The record is from RNAcentral.